UGGGGAAUAUUGCACAAUGGGCGCAAGCCUGAUGCAGCCAUGCCGCGUGUGUGAAGAAGGCCUUCGGGUUGUAAAGCACUUUCAGCGAGGAGGAAGGUGGUGAACUUAAUACGUUCAUCAAUUGACGUUACUCGCAGAAGAAGCACCGGCUAACUCCGUGCCAGCAGCCGCUGUAAUACGGAGGGUGCAAGCGUUAAUCGGAAUUACUGGGCGUAAAGCGCACGCAGGCGGUUUGUUAAGUCAGAUGUGAAAUCCCCGGGCUCAACCUGGGAACUGCAUUUGAAACUGGCAAGCUAGAGUCUCGUAGAGGGUGGUAGAAUUCCAGGUGUAGCGGUGAAAUGCGUAGAGAUCUGGAGGAAUACCGGUGGCGAAGGCGGCCCCCCUGGACGAAGACUGACGCUCAGGUGCGAAAAGCGUGGGGAGCAAAACAGGAUUAGAUACCCCUGGUAGUCCACGCUGUAAAACGAUGUCGAUUUUGGAGGUUGUGCCCUUGAGGCGUGGCUUCCGGAGCUAACGCGUU
This 520-nucleotide ribosomal RNA is filed under the name uncultured bacterium. RNAcentral's name for it is "partial 16S ribosomal RNA". It matches the Rfam family "Bacterial small subunit ribosomal RNA", at positions 355 to 861 of the family's 1533-position model. The record is from RNAcentral.